This 895-nucleotide long non-coding RNA is filed under the name Coturnix japonica (Japanese quail). RNAcentral's name for it is "lncRNA (ENSCJPG00005021498.1)". Lineage: Eukaryota; Metazoa; Chordata; Aves; Galliformes; Phasianidae. The record is from RNAcentral.
ACCACAAGCUGAAAUUGUUAUGACUUUUGCAGCAGUGCUGCCAGCAGCAGAUCACUGUUUAAAAUCCCACUGAUAAGGUCUUGCUGAUCUGAUUUUUAAGGCACAUGCGUAGUGAUGGCUCACCCUGAGAAUGUCCUUUGGGAAUGACCCUUUCUAACUUGGGAAGAAACUGCUUGCCUCUGGACCACUUGCCUCAUCCAAGAAGGACGUUGCCUUCACAGCAGAACUGCUGAAGGACAGACCAGAGCAGCUGUUUCCCUGCAAGGUGCAUGAGGUGUCCUAGCUCCAAGGUUGCCAAAGGGAGCAAAUUCAACUGCUGUGGAAAAUUCCUCCACCUUCUGGCCUGGAGAUGGUGCUGUGUGUCCCUGCUUCCGUGGCAUCUCCCUCUGCCUUUCCUUCAGUGCUACACCCGUGACCAUCCCUCUGCUUUUCUACAUCUCAAGAUGCAGGAACUGAGGAGGAAUGUGCUAAAAGAUCUACCUUUGCCGUGUACACGGGAGCUCAGUUUGUACCAAGUCCCAGCUAAUUCCAAACUGGCUUCUCUACAAACUGACUUCUUAAGGUAGAAGAGGCCCUGCCAGAAGUAUUUUCCUUCUAAAAACAGGAGUGAAGUGUUACAAGGACCACUCUGGCUGCACCUCUUGAGACUGAAAAUGAAGUCUCAGGCUGGCAGUUGGACUCCUGAAAUGGGGCUACAUGGCAUUUGUGCAUCUACUUUCUACAGAGACACAUGAAAACCUUGUUGAAAAGCCUGCAUUUACUAUCAAAGGAAGAAAGAGAUGCAGGUGUAGAUUUGAAAUCAGUAUCAAAAUUACUACUGACUUGAGUCAUUUUCGAGUUUUAUCUUCUUAGAAAUUGUCUGUCACUAAUAAACUUGAUAAUGGGAGGAAGACCA